Molecule: long non-coding RNA, 1074 nt
Filed under: Glycine max (soybean)
Lineage: Eukaryota; Viridiplantae; Streptophyta; Magnoliopsida; Fabales; Fabaceae
Description: long non-coding RNA (GMAX_LNC000863)
Source: RNAcentral
UAUACAAAUAUCUUCUAUUUUUUGUCACUAUAAUAAUCUCCUUUAUAGAGAUUAGUGUAAUAAAAAAAUGUAUCAAUAUAAUGUUUCAAACAUUAAGGAGAUAUUAACGUUACAUAUAGAGUAUCAAUGAAAUGUUUUCAAAUAUAAAGUGGUGAAAAGUGAUGACAUGACACUAUCCAAAUUUGAUAUGUGUUCACCUUGAACACUACCUAUUCACUAGGCAUGGUUGAGAAUGAGUAUGUCAUUUCCUAUUCUCGUCCUUGUUUUGCUCCCCAACACCAUUCCCAUCCAUGAUCUUCAAUGGAGAUACAAUUUUGUCCUCAUUCUCGGUCUCUCGUUUGAGGUCAAAUAUAUCCACCUAGUCCCGUCUUUGCCUACUAAAAAUGGUUACUACUUUAUAACAAUAUAAUUUGUAUAUGUUUUCUGUCUAAUUUUAAAUCUAAAACCAAUUUUAGAUGUCAUUAAAUUAAAUAAGUUGUAAAAAUGUAAUGAUUCAAAACAUAAACUCAACCUACUAUAAUAAAAAAAACAAGUCUUAUAAAAAGAUUAAAUAAAUAAGGAAAAUACAAUGAGCAUAUAUUUCGGGGAUCGGGACAUAUACUGGGACGAGACAGGUAUUUAUAUACCCACCCCAUCCAUGUCCUGAUUUUAAAAAGUUGGGUAAUACCUAUAUCUAAUCAAAACAAAUAUUUUUUCAUCAAAGCUAGGCCGGUUUUGGAAGGAUACCCACAAGUAUGGGGUUUCUUGCCAUCCCCAAUCAUCAUCACUUCUGAUGACGUUGUCUAGCUCCAUAGAAUAAAAAUCUAUUUUUUUGAAAUUUAAUGGACUAAUAUUUUUUUCAACUUGGGAGACUAAAAAAGAAUUUAUCCAAGAUCAAAUAGAUUUAUUUGUUUUUAUAUGUUUUUUCUUUCACUUAAUUGUUAGUUGUUGGUUUUUGUCAGUGGAAAAUUCAAACUCAUAACUUUUAUUCCCUUCAUUCUCUCUUCACCACCAAGUUAAUCUUAUAACUCCUACAAAAUAUAAAUUUUAAAAGGAUCAUUUAAAAAAAUUACAAAGACCAAAACUAAAAAAAAU